RNAcentral lists this ribosomal RNA (253 nucleotides) under uncultured bacterium. RNAcentral describes it as "partial 16S ribosomal RNA". It matches the Rfam family "Bacterial small subunit ribosomal RNA", at positions 524 to 776 of the family's 1533-position model. The record is from RNAcentral.
UACGGAGGGGGCUAGCGUUGUUCGGAAUUACUGGGCGUAAAGCGCACGUAGGCGGCUUUGUAAGUUAGAGGUGAAAGCCCGGGGCUCAACUCCGGAAUUGCCUUUAAGACUGCAUCGCUAGAAUUGUGGAGAGGUAAGUGGAAUUCCGAGUGUAGAGGUGAAAUUCGUAGAUAUUCGGAAGAACACCAGUGGCGAAGGCGACUUACUGGACACAUAUUGACGCUGAGAUGCGAAAGCUGGGGGAGCAAACCGG